This is a long non-coding RNA of Triticum aestivum (bread wheat), 1306 nucleotides long. RefSeq lists it as uncharacterized. The transcript is spliced from 3 exons. Lineage: Eukaryota; Viridiplantae; Streptophyta; Magnoliopsida; Poales; Poaceae. The record is from RefSeq and is a predicted model, not a curated record.
CCACCCCGUGUCCCCCACCACCGCAUCCAGCGGCGAGGCGAUAUUGGAGGAUCUCGGAGCGCCCUACCAGCCGCCGCCGCGCCCUUGAGCACCAGCGCCAUGCGCCUUCUCCCGGACGGCUGCUUGCCCGCUCCCUUCAAGCCCCAGCCGCCGCGCUCCUGUCAAGCCCCGGCCGCCGUGCUCGGUCACCGCAAGGACCGGCCGCCAUGCCUCGCCGGCCAACAUCGGAGCAGCCAGCCUCGACAGGUGACAGCAUAUCCUCAUCCAGGCUCGCCCUGGCCGGAGCCUACUGCGUCGACCCAUCACAUUGAUCAUCCCGCCUAAUCCCACCAGCGUACUCGCCGGCGUAGCUUUCCCCACAGGUCUAUUCCUCCUACCCCAUUUGAUCCAUGUGUGUGUCAGCUAAUGGUAUUACGAUUUUUUCAUAGUCAGAUAAUGAUCAAGCUUUUACUGAAUUUUGUCAAAAAUAAGGUUUGCUACGGCCUGAUAAGGAUCUAUUGUUUAACUGAAUUGUGGAUGUUUUCUUUUCCAUGGAUGCUCUUUAUAUUACUACAAUAUAUGUUGUCCGAUUCAGGCCAUAUUCUUCUGUACGUUUCAAAGUGGCAACUUCAGAAAUUAUUCAAUGAGUUGACCUUCAUUUUUUUGAAUUAUAUUAAUCUCAUGUGUAAAAGUUAGCGGAUGACCCAAAAUCUAAAGUUAACUGUGCUCUGCCUGGCUAGCUAAGCAGACGAGCCAGAAACAACCUUUCUUGUAAUUUGAAUGUGCAUGAAUUACCUUUUGGUGCCAUCUGAUAUUUCUGAAUGUUUUUUUAUACUGGCAGCCUUGAAUAUGUGUGAAUGUUCUUGACGCUAGUACGGUUCAAUCUUCUCCUUCUACCAUUUAAUUUGAUAGCGUGAACUCCUUGCUCUUUUAUUGCUCUCUUUUCAACAGUGUAAUAGUAAUUGCAAGGAGAGAGACACUACUGGAUACAGGGACACAAGUCAGAGCACAAGUACAGUGUACUUGCAGCAUUGGCUGAACCAAUGACCAAGCAAAAAAAUAAGAAAAACAGGGGAGAAAGAAAGGAGUCUCGGAACUAAACAGGUUCAGCCAUGCCAAAAACACAAAUCCAAGAGAUCUGCUUCAUCAGCACGGAUCCGAGAUCUAGAAGAAAGAAUUGAACAAAAGGAUAGAGAGGGAUGCAAAUGACAAGUAGCUAUGGCAUCAAGAGGAGUUAGCCGCGAGACUUGUAGCACAAGAGACAACACUUGAAGAGAUGGGGAUGAAGUAGCAAGAAAAGUAGUGUAAUGAGCCAGCAAGACAAGAA